RNAcentral lists this non-coding RNA (22 nucleotides) under Xenopus tropicalis (tropical clawed frog). Lineage: Eukaryota; Metazoa; Chordata; Amphibia; Anura; Pipidae. RNAcentral also lists the same sequence under 2 other names. The record is from RNAcentral.
UGUAAACAUCCUACACUCAGCC